Non-coding RNA from Misgurnus anguillicaudatus (oriental weatherfish), 543 nucleotides. Lineage: Eukaryota; Metazoa; Chordata; Actinopteri; Cypriniformes; Cobitidae. The record is from RefSeq and is a predicted model, not a curated record.
UAACUUUUAGCAGUGGGCGUAACCUUAAGUUGUCCAAGUUACACAGAACCACGCGAGACGUCAGGACGAGAUGUUGUCAUUCUGUCUUCUCUUCUGCCCGCAUAGAGAUACGGCGGCUAAAGGCGUUAUUAAAGUUGCUCAUCCAAGCGCCCUCAUGUUUGUUCGUACCAAUUUUAAUGGACGGGAAGCCGACUGACGAACAUCCUUUUCCCGAGAAAUGGUUCGGCUACGACACAUGUUAAGAAGUCACGCCAGGGGCUUAAUUAAGGUCGACCGUUUCAGCUGCAUUGAUGUGAAGUGAUGCAGUGGACAACUUGUGAGGGUGAUACCAUCCACAUGCACCUUAACUGUGAUGCAGAAAUAUAAUAGGAUGAUCCAUCUGUCUACACUUCAAACUCACAACUCAACCUUAAACAACCCAUAUCUGUUAUGGUAAAACAAUGUGGCGGUUUUCCAGACAGGGCUUAUACUGUUUCCGGGCUAAAAUGCAUGUUUGAGCUACUGUAAUUAAAAAAACACCUUGUACUGACACAUCUCAACAUA